Anthonomus grandis grandis is the source of this 288-nucleotide long non-coding RNA. RefSeq lists it as uncharacterized. The transcript is spliced from 3 exons. The record is from RefSeq and is a predicted model, not a curated record. Lineage: Eukaryota; Metazoa; Arthropoda; Insecta; Coleoptera; Curculionidae.
AACCGCAACGGCUUCUUCCAUAGACACCAGGUACGUCGCGAGGUUGUCUGGAGUGCCGUCAAAAUAGGGAUGAACCGAACUGCGAAACCUGUCUUCCGUGCAGGCAUAUCGGGAAAUGGGAGAGGUACGCAGGGAACCAGAGGGGCACCACAAGCUCAGAUUUAAAUGCCUGGAGAUGCUCCCAAUGAUGGCUAUAAAAGCGACUUUGUAGCCACAGAUAUACUGGAACGAGAAUUGGGUCUGGAAUCUGAAUAUGGAAAUCGGGCUGAGGACCUGGAUUGGAUCGGG